AUGGAUCUCAUGAGUGAGUUGAGCAAGCUGGUCGGAUAUGGUUUGGAGAGUAGGCUCUUGGGACGAACGAGCACGACGGGGUGGACGACUUGAAGAAGAAGCUGGAGCAUGAUCACCAUCAUGAUGGAAAGAUGACUCCGAGAUUUCCCAAAUUUUGGUACUCCUUUUGAGAGGACCAUUUUCCGUGACAAAACCGGAUGCUUCAAGGAAGUUCAUAAUGAGGAGGGCAUAAGGAAGAGGCAUGUCAUCACCGAUG
This 256-nucleotide long non-coding RNA is filed under the name Nicotiana benthamiana. RNAcentral's name for it is "long non-coding RNA (NBEN_LNC038459)". The record is from RNAcentral. Lineage: Eukaryota; Viridiplantae; Streptophyta; Magnoliopsida; Solanales; Solanaceae.